RNAcentral lists this ribosomal RNA (572 nucleotides) under uncultured Glomeromycotina. RNAcentral describes it as "SSU rRNA". It matches the Rfam family "Eukaryotic small subunit ribosomal RNA", at positions 548 to 1114 of the family's 1831-position model. The record is from RNAcentral. Lineage: Eukaryota; Fungi; Glomeromycota.
UUGGAGGGCAAGUCUGGUGCCAGCAGCCGCGGUAAUUCCAGCUCCAAUAGCGUAUAUUAAAGUUGUUGCAGUUAAAAAGCUCGUAGUUGAAUUUCGGGAUUGACGUGAUGGUCAUGCCUUAAGGGGUAUGAACUGUUACUGUUGAUUUCUCACCUUCUGGAGAAACUUGAUGUCCUUUAUUGGGUGUCUUGCGGAUCCAGGACCUUUACCUUGAAAAAAUUAGAGUGUUUAAAGCAGGCAUUUUUGCUCGAAUACAUUAGCAUGGAAUAAUAGAAUAGGACGGCAUGGUUCUAUUUUGUUGGUUUCUAGGAUCACCGUAAUGAUUAAUAGGGAUAGUUGGGGGCAUUAGUACUCAAUUGUCAGAGGUGAAAUUCUUGGAUUUAUUGAAGACUAACUACUGCGAAAGCAUUUGCCAAGGAUGUUUUCAUUAAUCAAGAACGAAAGUUAGGGGAUCGAAGACGAUCAGAUACCGUCGUAGUCUUAACCAUAAACUAUGCCGACUAGGAAUCAGACGAUGUUAAUUUUUUAAUGACUCGUUUGGCACCUUACGGGAAACCAAAGUGUUUGGGUUC